AAACUAACAAGGAUUCCCCUAGUAACGGCGAGUGAAGAGGGAAGAGCCCAAGAUUGAAAGCUGGCGCCUUCGGCGUCCGCAUUGUAAUCUCAAGAAGUGUUUUCCGCUUCGGACCAUGCCUAAGUCCCUUGGAAAAGGGCAUCAUAGAGGGUGAUAAUCCCGUACAUGGCAUGGAGCGCCCGAAGCUUUGUGAUACGCUUUCUAAGAGUCGAGUUGUUUGGGAAUGCAGCUCAAAAUGGGUGGUAAAUGCCAUCUAAGGCUAAAUAUUGGGGAGAGACCGAUAGCGAACAAGUACAGUGAUGGAAAGAUGAAAAGAACUUUGAAAAGAGAGUUAAACAGUACGUGAAAUUGCCAAAAGGGAAGGGUAGGAGGUCAGAGAUGCGUCGCAGGAUUCAGCCUUGCUUUUGCUUGGUGUUUUUCCUGCGUUGCAGGCCAACGUCGGUUUUGGGCACUGGAGAAGGGUAGGAGGAACGUGGCACCUCUCGGGGUGUGUUAUAGCCUCCUACUGGAUACAGCGACCGAGACCGAGGAACGCAGCGUACUCGUAAGAGCGGGCCUUUUGGCACCUUUACGCUUAGGGCGUUGGCAUAAUGGCCCUCUACCACCCGUCUUGA
RNAcentral lists this ribosomal RNA (614 nucleotides) under Pseudozyma hubeiensis. RNAcentral's name for it is "eukaryotic LSU rRNA". It matches the Rfam family "Eukaryotic large subunit ribosomal RNA", at positions 62 to 657 of the family's 3401-position model. The record is from RNAcentral. Lineage: Eukaryota; Fungi; Basidiomycota; Ustilaginomycetes; Ustilaginales; Ustilaginaceae.